UACGGGGGAUGCAAGCGUUGUCCGGAAUCAUUGGGCGUAAAGAGUUCGUAGGUGGUUUGUUAAGUUAGGUGUUAAAGGCAGAGGCUCAACUUCUGAUAGGCACUUGAUACUGGCAGACUAGAAUGCAGCAGAGGUAAAGGGAAUUCCUGGUGUAGCGGUGAAAUGCGUAGAUAUCAGGAGGAACAUCGGUGGCGAAAGCGCUUUACUGGACUGUAAUUGACACUGAGGAACGAAAGCCAGGGUAGCAGAU
Molecule: ribosomal RNA, 250 nt
Filed under: uncultured prokaryote
Description: partial 16S ribosomal RNA
Rfam family: Bacterial small subunit ribosomal RNA
Source: RNAcentral